This 428-nucleotide ribosomal RNA is filed under the name uncultured prokaryote. Its description in RNAcentral is "bacterial SSU rRNA". It matches the Rfam family "Bacterial small subunit ribosomal RNA", at positions 355 to 776 of the family's 1533-position model. The record is from RNAcentral. RNAcentral also lists the same sequence under 1 other name.
UAGGGAAUUUUCGUCAAUGGGGGGAACCCUGAACGAGCAAUGCCGCGUGAGUGAUGAAGGCCUUCGGGUCGUAAAGCUCUGUUGUAAGUGAAGAACGACCAUGAGAGGGAAUGCUCAUGGAGUGACGGUAGCUUACCAGAAAGCCACGGCUAACUACGUGCCAGCAGCCGCGGUAAUACGUAGGUGGCAAGCGUUAUCCGGAAUGAUUGGGCGUAAAGGGUGCGUAGGUGGUCCGAUAAGUCUGAGGUAAAAGAUCGCAGCUCAACUGCGAUAAGCCUUGGAAACUGUUGGACUAGAGUGUAGGAGAGGCAAAUGGAAUUCCAUGUGUAGCGGUAAAAUGCGUAGAUAUAUGGAGGAACACCAGUGGCGAAGGCGGUUUGCUGGCCUACAACUGACACUGAGGCACGAAAGCGUGGGGAGCAAAUAGG